Molecule: long non-coding RNA, 4785 nt
Filed under: Cucumis sativus (cucumber)
Lineage: Eukaryota; Viridiplantae; Streptophyta; Magnoliopsida; Cucurbitales; Cucurbitaceae
Description: long non-coding RNA (CSAT_LNC001524)
Source: RNAcentral
ACAUGAGAGACACCGUUGAUGGCAUAUCGCAACUUACCAUCCACUUUACUAACUGAAUUGACAAGCUUGAUGGUACGAGUAAUGUUGAUGGAACCAUAAUGGUAGGAGCCUUGAGGAUUAGGCCUUGCAGCACUGGCAGUGAGGUUCCAACGAAAGGUACGGAAUUGAUUGAGGGACCAAGCCCAACCCACUGGGGCCUCGGGGAUUUCAGGAGAUGCAUGGCCUUUUCCAUCGGUGUAUCGAACAAUGCCUUUACCAACAAGAAUGCUCUUAAUAAACCUAGUUGAUGCAACCAUAUAAUAGUCUUUCGGCUCCUGGUUUGCGGUGACUAGCACCGAAAAACAUUGCCCCACAUGGACGUCAAGUGAUUGGUAAUCGUUUUGCACGGUAUGAGACCCUUCCAUCUCUACCAGCUUCAUGGUGUGUCCUUGGAAUCUGAAGUUGAGAGAUGACUUGAGACCCACAUUGCAAACUCGAUACUUGUAAGUCUUUCCGGGCUUCAUGGUGAAGAGUGGCUCAUCGGUUCCGUCACCCUUUGCGGUCUUUCCAUUGAUGAGGACACCGUCGGGUCUAGCAAUGGAGCGACCACUAUCCAAAAAUUGCUUAAGUGCGGUGUGGCUCUUGGUGUACCAGUCACCAAUAAGGACAGUGUAAUCAUCUUCAGGGUCAGCAUAGGGAACAGGAAUGAGUAAACGACUAUUCACACGGAGGCCACCAAAGCCUCCAGCUGCCCUGUGCAUGGCAGUUGAUGGAUAGUAGAAGAAGCUUCCAAUUUGGUCCUUAACUUGGAAAUGGUAGGUGUAGUUUGUUCCUGGUAGGAUUGGGCAAUUGGUUCCAAGUAGCCCAUCUUGCCAAGAGUUCUUCCUGUGCUGAAUUCCACUCCUGCAAGUGUCAUUCCAAUUUAUUAAUAAUUUUAAAAAGAGUUACAUUAGUAAAUAUGAUGAGAAUACAAGUGGCAGUUCCAUAAAUAUACCAAUGUAGAAGGAAAGGUUCGUCGAGAUUAUUGAAGACGUUAAUGACUAAGUUAUUGUUGGACGUGGAGUUUAUAUUAGGUCCGGGGAAUUGACCAUUGAUGAGAAUGCCUUGUUGGGGAACGCCCAAGGGAGAGAUGGUGCCAUAGGUGACAUUCCAUGUGAAGAAGAAAUAAGGGUCUUCACCCCGGACCGUCACUGUCAUUGCUGCAGCCGAGAGGCAAAGCAGCGCGGUAAACAUCAACCCAGCCAUCUUCUACCUCUCCCUUCUCUCUCUUUCAAUAUUUUUCUUUUCAAAUCACCGCUCUUAUCUCGAGCAGGCUAAGUAUCCCUAAAUGGAUUAUUGUUCGUUCCCUGAUGGCUAAUCCUUCCAAUCCUUCAUUUAUAUACAAUUUCUCAAACAUUUUGACUCCAAGUUUUUUUCUAACUGCCCCCUCUUUCUUGGGGCCUUGCAUAUUUCCCUACCUCUCCUUUUUUAGAAGAGUGCCAACAUCCCCGGUCCAAACUAUAUGUUUCAUUCAAUAAUUAGAUUGGGUUGACUCUCCAAAUAUAGUGGAUUAAUUGAGAGACGAGCUAACAAAGAUUAUUUUCAAUUUUUCACUUUAUUUAAACUUUUUAAAUUCUAGUUUCAUAAUUUAAAUGCUUCCAGUCAAUGUUAUUUCUAACCAAUUAUUUUUGUUUAUAAAGUAAUAUGAUUAUAUUUAGUACAGAAUAACUACAACAAUUACCUGUAACAAAGUAGUCCUAAACUUUCAAGUUUUCAUUAAUGCUAACUCUAGGAAAAAGUUAUAAAAAAACGUACCCCUCAUGGUUUAUAACACUUCCAGGUCAUAUUUGUGUUUUUGAUCAAUUUAAUUCAGUACAGUGCUAUACUCACACUCCAAGAAGGAUUAGUUCGACUCGUUUUUGUCUCAUUAUAUAUAUUUUGUAAUCAAGUUUUUAAUGAGGUUUAAUUUAUUUAAUACAAAUGUUGUUGCAGAAGUGAUUUGCUAUGAAUCCAAUAAAAUUUGUUGUGAUGACAAAUGGUGACCUAGGGUCGAUGUUGACACUUCUCCGGCCAUCACAUCUUCAUCUUUUGGUUUUAGUUGAUGAAUCAAGAGGCCGGGGUGUAACAUGCAAUGGACAUAGCAAGGAAUGAGUAUUAGCAUGAUCAAAAUAUAUAUAAUUUCAUGAACAACGGACUUUUACUGAGUGUUCAAUCAAGAUUUGUUUAUUUUAAUCCUGAAUCCAAUAAAGUUUGUCGUGAUUAACAAAUUUUGACUAAGAUAUGGUGUGUGAACUUUAGUUUUAUGAUUAUACAAUAAAAUCCUAACAUUGUGUAUAAUAAUAAAUGUUAAGAUUUUUGAACUAGAUAGUUUUUUAAAUUAAAUUUAGAUAAAGAAUGUAUAACAUAUUUUGAUCCACGAAUAAUCUUUAGGAUUUAGGAUUUGUGCUAAGGGUGUUCAAUUUGUUUGAAAUUUUCUUAAGUUAGAAAAGAACUAAUUUUAAAAUAAAUUAUAUUUAUAUCCUCAUUUUUCUCGCAUUUUCUUUUAUUUUUCAAUUCUUACCUUACACCCAUUUUCUAAAUAACCAAGAUAAAAAUAAAAAAAUUAAGUUAAAACCUAAAAUCCACAAAAUUUGACCAGGGCUAAAAUCAAAAUCUCAACUUAAAACAUUACAAAGAUAGAUAGUGAAAUAAAAAAGUAGUUAAGUUAUUAACACACUCAGCUAUUAAAAUACAAUUUUGUUAAAAUAUUUAAGUCAAUUCUAGCGGUGAAGUCCCAUUCACAUAACAAACUUAAUUAAACUCUCCAUUAAAGUUUCAAAUUAAUCCACUACUUAACCAAUGAAGAGAUGUUUGAAACACCCAAAACCAAGACCUGACUGCUUGGUGAGUAUUAGUUCAACACUACUUAAUCAAUGAAGAGAUGUUUGAAACACCCAAAACCAAGACCUGAGGGCUUGGUGAGUAUUAGAUCAUCACUACUUAAUCAAUGAAGAGAUGUUUGAAACACCCAAAACCAAGACCUGAGGGCUUGGUGAGUAUUAGAUCAUCACUACUUAAUCAAUGAAGAGAUGUUUGAAACACCCAAAACCAAGACCUGAGGGCUUGGUGAGUAUUAGUUCAUCACUACUUAAUCAAUGAAGAGAUGUUUGAAACACCCAAAACCAAGACCUGACGUCUUGGUGAGUGUUAGUUCAUCAGACACUCGUUCACAAAAUAAGACGAACACACAUAACACUCUUUUCUUGCUCUACAACUCUCUAAAAAUCAAAAUUCUCAAGAAACAAAGAUGUUCCAUCUUAAAGGUGGGGAAAUCCUAGCAAGAACAGUUUGUUACGUCGGAUGAAGUUUUAUUUGACGUUAACAGUAUAUUGCCGGACGGUGGAAAUAGUCUUGGGUUCUUGCAGUGAGGUGGUGCGUUAUAAUUGGUGCGUUAUAAUUGGUUAGAACAGUUUUCUCAAGAUAAAUUAAAGAGAAAAAUAUAAUUGUAUUAGACUAAGAAGAAAAGGGUUAUUAAAGAAUGAGUUGGAUAUGUAAUAUAAAUGCAAACAAAUGAUUGCCCUCUUCCUUAGCUUACACAUAUUUGUAGCUUAUCUAGUACAUACCUUUUUAAAGGAGCAUUAUUAUUGUUUCUGAAUUAUUGAAUCAAGUCUUAUAGAAGUUCCAUAAUAAAAGUAUACAUUUAUUUUUAUUUAAAAACUCAUCAUAUAAAAUCGAAUAAAAAAACAUGCACACAAACAGUAUAUACAAAAAAGAUAUAAUUAAUUAUCAGAAAAUAUUCUUUUAUUGUUUACUCGCAACCAAUCAUAUACAUGAAAAAUCAACCUCUCCAAAAUUACUUGAGGUGUAUCACAUUUUCACAUUUGGAGUGUGGAAUAAUGGUGGAUUUACUGUCUCAAAUAGUAUAUGGCUUGGGCAAUGGCAUGUCCUUCACUAAACCACAGAGUAAAGUGUUGUCGGGGAUGUUAUACUCAUCUCUGAGGGAGCGAGCUGGUGAAAGAACACUGACGUAGAGUUGGCUCCCCAAGUAACGAUUUUCCAACAACUCGGACCUCAAGUUCCACAUUCCAGCAUUGUCAAAUGUAAGAAGUAUGGCUGCCCACGACUUAGGAAAGACUUGGAUUGUAUGCCUGCUCACGGCAUCAAGAAGAUUGUAGUUGGCUCGUUUUUCCGGAGACCAUCUCCCAGGCUCAAUGCUGCAUAAACAUUGAACAAGAAUUCGUCAGUCAUUUCUAAGUUGGGGAUUAAAAUGGGUAACAUAUUAGCACAUUAAUUAUUUAAAACCACCCAGAUACUUACGCAACAGCGAAGAAUGAGUAGCCAUCCAAAUGCCAUGAUUGAAGGCUCUUCUCAUGGUUUUCAAAAAUGAUUUCUAUGAAAUUGCGGAAGGUUGCAUUGACAACAUUAGGAGCGACUGUCACAGUAGUUGCGCCUUCUGCUAGCCCCUCAUCAGAAAUGGUAUCGUACUUGAACACUUUGUCUGCUACUUCAAAGUACUCUGCAAGCUUCAAUGGAGUUUCAGGAUCAACAUGAGAGACACCGUUGAUGGCAUAUCGCAACUUACCAUCCACCUUACUGAUUGAAUUGACAAGCUUGAUGGUACGAGUAAUGUUGAUGGAACCAUAAUGGUAGGAGCCUUGAGGAUUAGGCCUUGCAGCACUGGCAGUGAGGUUCCAACGGAAGGUACGGAAUUGAUUGAGGGACCAAGCCCAACCCAUUGGGGCCUCAGGGAUUUCAGGAGAUGCAGGACCUUUUCCAUCGAUGUAUCUAACAAUGCCUUUACCAACAAGAACGUUCUUAAUAAACCUAGUUGAUGCAACCAUAUAAUAG